This is a microRNA precursor of Oryza sativa Indica Group (long-grained rice), 204 nucleotides long. It matches the Rfam family "MIR812 microRNA precursor family". The record is from Rfam. Lineage: Eukaryota; Viridiplantae; Streptophyta; Magnoliopsida; Poales; Poaceae.
GUGAAGUGCAACCAUGAGUUUUUGUAUCCAACUUUAGUCGUUCGUCUUAUUUGAAAAAAAAUUUUAAUUAGUAUUUUUGUUUAUAUGAGAUGAUAAAACAUGAAUAGUACCUUAUGCGUGACUUAUGUUUUUUAUUUUUUAAAGAAAAAUUCAAAUAAGACGGAUGAUCAAAAUUGGGCACAGAAAUUCAUGACUGCACUUAAA